RNAcentral lists this ribosomal RNA (372 nucleotides) under uncultured Sphingobacteriia bacterium. RNAcentral's name for it is "bacterial SSU rRNA". It matches the Rfam family "Bacterial small subunit ribosomal RNA", at positions 538 to 916 of the family's 1533-position model. Lineage: Bacteria; Pseudomonadati; Bacteroidota; Sphingobacteriia. The record is from RNAcentral.
GCGUUAUCCGGAAUCACUGGGUUUAAAGGGUGCGUAGGCGGUUGCGUAAGUCAGAAGUGAAAGCUCACAGCUUAACUGUGGAAUUGCUUUUGAUACUGCGCGACUAGAAUUAGGUUGAGGUUGGCGGAAUGUGACAUGUAGCGGUGAAAUGCAUAGAUAUGUCAUAGAACACCAAUUGCGAAGGCAGCUGACUGGACCUAUAUUGACGCUGAGGCACGAAAGCGUGGGGAGCGAACAGGAUUAGAUACCCUGGUAGUCCACGCCCUAAACGAUGCUUACUCGAUGUGUGAACUAUUGCGCAUCCAAGGGAAACCGUUAAGUAAGCCACCUGGGGAGUACGUUCGCAAGAAUGAAACUCAAAUGAAUUGACGG